This 541-nucleotide ribosomal RNA is filed under the name uncultured Ohtaekwangia sp. RNAcentral describes it as "bacterial SSU rRNA". It matches the Rfam family "Bacterial small subunit ribosomal RNA", at positions 355 to 897 of the family's 1533-position model. The record is from RNAcentral. Lineage: Bacteria; Pseudomonadati; Bacteroidota; Cytophagia; Cytophagales; Fulvivirgaceae.
UAGGGAAUAUUGGUCAAUGGAUGCAAGUCUGAACCAGCCAUGCCGCGUGCAGGAAGAAGGCCCUAUGGGUUGUAAACUGCUUUUGCCAGGGGAUAAAAUGGGCAUGCGUGCCUAAUUGAAGGUACCUGGUGAAUAAGCCACGGCUAACUACGUGCCAGCAGCCGCGGUAAUACGUAGGUGGCAAGCGUUGUCCGGAUUUAUUGGGUUUAAAGGGUGCGUAGGCGGUCCUGUAAGUCAGUGCUGAAAUAUCCCGGCUUAACCGGGAGGGUGGCAUUGAUACUGUAGGACUUGAGUAAAGUUGAGGUUGGCGGAAUUGACGGUGUAGCGGUGAAAUGCUUAGAUAUCGUCAAGAACACCUAUUGCGAAGGCAGCUAACUAAGCUUUAACUGACGCUGAGGCACGAAAGUGUGGGGAUCAAACAGGAUUAGAUACCCUGGUAGUCCACACUGUAAACGUUGAUUACUCGCUGUUGGCGAUACACAGCCAGCGGCUUAGCGCAAGCGAUAAGUAAUCCACCUGGGGAGUACGCCGGCAACGGUGA